GACAGCAGGACUGGACCUGGCUCGGGGCAUCCUGUGGAGCAAAUUGUGCAGCAUCUCUGACAGAAUCGGAGGGACAGACAUGGAGCCUCAGGGACCUUUCCUGAUGUUGGUUGAGGCAUUUGAAGGGAAAUCACAGUGCUGAUGCCACUCACAAGUUGGCCAACCCAAAAGUGAAUACAACCCAAGUGCGAGGAAGGCUGGA
This is a long non-coding RNA of Neopelma chrysocephalum (saffron-crested tyrant-manakin), 202 nucleotides long. RefSeq lists it as uncharacterized. The record is from RefSeq and is a predicted model, not a curated record. The transcript has 2 exons. Lineage: Eukaryota; Metazoa; Chordata; Aves; Passeriformes; Pipridae.